Myotis myotis is the source of this 1618-nucleotide long non-coding RNA. RefSeq lists it as uncharacterized. The transcript is spliced from 3 exons. NCBI's taxonomy places the organism in Eukaryota, Metazoa, Chordata, Mammalia, Chiroptera, Vespertilionidae. The record is from RefSeq and is a predicted model, not a curated record.
AGAAAGGAAGACAAAACAGGCUUGGCGCCCAGCGUGUUAAACAUCAGUGUACGAAACGCAUGCACAGGUUAUUCAUGGCAGCAUUGCUUGGAAUAAUAAAGGAGCAGAAACUACCGUUUAAAGAAAAUCAGAAGAGUUAAAUAAGCUUUUAACCAUGCCCGAUGCUACUCUAGUCAACUAUUAAAAAGAACGGAAAGGGCAUCACGGUUGGGUAUGUGCGAUCUAUGUGAUGGAUUAUUAAGUGGCGCAUCGAUUUCAGAAUUCCCAGAUCUUGGAACAGAACACACAGGAGGCUGCUGGGUGGUUGCUCGGAGAAGAGGAAACAGGCCUGGAAUAAAAUCAACCAAAGAACCUAAUGCAAGCAGAAUCUUCUUUUUUCCCCCCUCCCCAGUUAUUUUUUUCUGAUGAUAACAAUCCUUCUCGUAUUCAUUUUACAAAAUACAAAGAAAAAAAUCAAAAUUACCGAUGAUUCCAUCAUCCUAAGAUAAACACCUAAUAAUACUUUACUGUCUUUUGUGCCAAAUAUUUUAUGUCUAUAUAUUUUCCCUCACAAUUUGUUAUAAUAAUGUUAUGGUCAUAAGGAAACCCCUCUAAUGUGUGGAAAUAAUUAUUGUGUGAAAUAAUUAAUGUGUGAAAUGUUUGCUGUGUGAAGACCCCCAUACUCUGUAACUUCCAAAAUGUGGUGAACGCCCCACUAUCUCGAUGUGAAUGCCCUGAGCCCUUAGCGUAAACACCCUGCUCCUAGCAAAGGCACGCCGUCUGGCCCACACUGAUAAGACACAGUUGUUUACUACGGCUAUAUAAGCGCCAGAGUUCCUCCAGCCGAUGUCUCCUGCCUGAGAGGAGGACUCCACGUCACUCGGUGAGACAAGCCCCGGAGUGACUGCUCUGCUGUGUGAGCCUGAACCAGCUGCGGCCGCCUGUCUGUCUCUGUCUUCGUCGUCUGUCUUUUGGUGUGCGUCUCCGGGUGGCCUUUGCUGGAGCCUGGGACCCACUAGGAAUAGGAGGCACAUUCUAACCUGGCUGGCAGCCGCCCUCUGGACCUGGGGGCUCACCUGGGAAUGCAGCCCGCCCUCCCCAUUUGGAGCUGCCUGUUAUCUUGGAAAGAUGAACAACUCUGCUGCAGAAACCAGAAUCGCCAGCCCCUCCAAGAUCCCAGUCCUUGCAUAUCUGUAAACUGUCCAUUUGCCCUUUCGCCUGCUUUCCUUUGUACUUCUACCAAUCUAAGCAGUCGGCUUAUGGUAGGGUCCAGAGCAGAUUUUUGUGGAAGACCUGCUGCUCUCCCAUACUGCCAGCAAUAUUGGAAUAAACGCUCACAGAUGAUUCAACCCUGUCUCUGCUGAAUUGGCUCAAGUAGUGACAGGCAGCACGGACCCAUUGUUUGUCUGAUUACACAUUCAAUUUCUUUCUAUAGACUCCUUUACACCAGCAUCCCUGUGUCACACACACCCCCCCCCCCCCGCCCCCGCCCCAGUCUAUACAGCAUAAAGAGUGUUCUUCUCCUUUGUUCUCUGGACUUGCAUGUGUACCCCAUUAGACCACACAUCCUGAAUUUCAAUUCUUUGUUAUUCCCAAAUAAAACCAUUUUGCUGGAGAAAUAGCUGGCUAUUUAUUAAAG